CCUACGGGAGGCUGCAGUGAGGAAUAUUGGUCAAUGGGCGGAAGCCUGAACCAGCCAAGUCGCGUGAGGGAAUAAGGCCCUACGGGUCGUAAACCUCUUUUGCCGGGGAGCAAAGGCGGGGACGUGUCCCGGCCCGUAGAGUACCCGGAGAAAAAGCAUCGGCUAACUCCUUGCCAGCAGCCGCGGUAAUACGGGGGAUGCGAUGGUUAUCCGGUUUUAUUGGGUUUAAAGGUUGCGUAGGCGGGCUUUUAAGUCAGCGGUAAAAAUUCGGGGCUCAACCCCGUACGGCCGUUGAAACUGGGGGCCUUGAGUGGGCGAGAGGAAGGCGGAAUGCGUGGUGUAGCGGUGAAAUGCAUAGAUAUCACGCAGAACACCGAUUGCGAAGGCAGCCUUCCGGCGCCCUACUGACGCUGAGGCACGAAAGUGCGGGGAUCGAACAGGAUUAGAUACCCGUGUAGUC
Molecule: ribosomal RNA, 460 nt
Filed under: uncultured bacterium
Lineage: Bacteria
Description: partial 16S ribosomal RNA
Rfam family: Bacterial small subunit ribosomal RNA
Source: RNAcentral